Molecule: small nuclear RNA, 107 nt
Filed under: Jaculus jaculus (lesser Egyptian jerboa)
Lineage: Eukaryota; Metazoa; Chordata; Mammalia; Rodentia; Dipodidae
Source: RNAcentral
GUGCUUGCUUUGGCAGCACAUAUACUAAAAUUGGAAUGAUACAGAGAAGAUUAGCAUGGCCCCUGUGCAAGGAUGACAUGCAAAUUCGUGAAGUGUUCCAUAUUUUU